CAGGACGAACGCUGGCGGCGUGCCUAAUACAUGCAAGUCGAACGGUCUUUCUAUGGAAGCUUGCUCCACUGAGAAGAUAGUGGCGAACGGGUGAGUAACACGUGGGUAACCUGCCCAUAAGAGGGGGAUAACAUCCGGAAACGGGUGCUAAUACCGCAUAGUUUUCUUGAUCGCAUGAUUGAGAAAGGAAAGACGGCCUUUGUGCUGUCGCUUAUGGAUGGACCCGCGGCGUAUUAGUUAGUUGGUGAGGUAACGGCUCACCAAGACGAUGAUACGUAGCCGACCUGAGAGGGUGAUCGGCCACAUUGGGACUGAGACACGGCCCAGACUCCUACGGGAGGCAGCAGUGGGGAAUAUUGCACAAUGGGGGAAACCCUGAUGCAAGCAACGCCGCGUGAGUGAUGACGGCCUUCGGGUUGUAAAGCUCUGUCUUCAGGGACGAUAAUGACGGUACCUGAGGAGGAAGCCACGGCUAACUACGUGCCAGCAGCCGC
This 494-nucleotide ribosomal RNA is filed under the name uncultured bacterium. Its description in RNAcentral is "bacterial SSU rRNA". It matches the Rfam family "Bacterial small subunit ribosomal RNA", at positions 25 to 518 of the family's 1533-position model. The record is from RNAcentral.